Molecule: ribosomal RNA, 254 nt
Filed under: uncultured bacterium
Lineage: Bacteria
Description: partial 16S ribosomal RNA
Rfam family: Bacterial small subunit ribosomal RNA
Source: RNAcentral
UACGGGGGGGGCAAGCGUUGUUCGGAAUUACUGGGCGUAAAGGGCUCGUAGGUGGCCAACUAAGUCAGACGUGAAAUCCCUCGGCUUAACCGGGGAACUGCGUCUGAUACUGGAUGGCUUGAGGUUGGGAGAGGGAUGCGGAAUUCCAGGUGUAGCGGUGAAAUGCGUAGAUAUCUGGAGGAACACCGGUGGCGAAGGCGGCAUCCUGGACCAAUUCUGACGCUGAGGAGCGAAAGCCAGGGGAGCAAACGGGG